RNAcentral lists this ribosomal RNA (520 nucleotides) under uncultured Glomus. Its description in RNAcentral is "SSU rRNA". It matches the Rfam family "Eukaryotic small subunit ribosomal RNA", at positions 569 to 1091 of the family's 1831-position model. The record is from RNAcentral. Lineage: Eukaryota; Fungi; Glomeromycota; Glomeromycetes; Glomerales; Glomeraceae.
AGCAGCCGCGGUAAUUCCAGCUCCAAUAGCGUAUAUUAAAGUUGUUGCAGUUAAAAAGCUCGUAGUUGAAUUUCGGGAUUAGUAGGUUGGUCGUGCCUCUGGUAUGUACUCGCCUUACUGAUUCCUCCUUCUUGAAGAACUGUAAUGCCAUUAAUUUGGUGUUGCAGGGAAACAGGACUGUUACUUUAGAAAAAAUUAGAGUGUUUAAAGCAGGCCAUUGCCUGAAUACAUUAGCAUGGAAUAAUGAAAUAGGACGUUGAUCCUAUUUUGUUGGUUUCUAGGAUUGACGUAAUGAUUAAUAGGGAUAGUUGGGGGCAUUAGUAUUCAAUUGUCAGAGGUGAAAUUCUUGGAUUUAUUGAAGACUAACUACUGCGAAAGCAUUUGCCAAGGUAUGUUUUCAUUAAUCAAGAACGAAGUUAGGGGAUCGAAGACGAUCAGAUACCGUCGUAGUCUUAACCAUAAACUAUGCCGACUAGGGAUCGGAUGAUGUUAAUUUUUAAUGACUCAUUCGGCGCCUUAA